This is a long non-coding RNA of Zophobas morio, 1135 nucleotides long. RefSeq lists it as uncharacterized. NCBI's taxonomy places the organism in Eukaryota, Metazoa, Arthropoda, Insecta, Coleoptera, Tenebrionidae. The record is from RefSeq and is a predicted model, not a curated record. The transcript is spliced from 3 exons.
GCGUAUACAAAGUACCGCUUUUGAGUGGUUUCGAAAGACGAUAUUUUACAAACAAUACUGCCAGUGCAAUAUCUGAUCACAAACACAUUGCGAGUUCACAUCUCGUUUAGUCGUUUCGUGUUGUGUUGGAUUCUUUUUAAAAUUAAAUUAUAUCAGAAGCAACCCUUUUCGUGGAAAUAAACUUUAUGAAAGGUAAUAUUUUUAAGGGGGAUUUUACAUAUCCCACUUCCUUUGAGACUUAAAGGGAAUUAGAGCCGCCAUAAUUUUAUUUAAUUUUCCUGGGAAUCCCUUUCAUGUGUUAAUUUCGGGUUGGUCUGAUCGGGCCUUAAAAACGGAGGCCGAUAAUGAAUCAUCUCGGUGUGUUCCCAACGGUGCGAUAAAAUAAAAAUAUGCCUCUGCGGAUGAUAUAUUUUCGGCAGGAUGGAUUGGAAUUUUUAUAUAAAUAUCGUGACAGUUAGGAAAUUGUCUCCUGGAAAGUAGCCGUUUUGAAAAUUUAUAGCGUUCAAGUUCCAUCUUGGUGACAAGGAGAACUACUUCCAUAUAUACUCAAUUAAGUUAAGCGACGCUUUCUACAAUUUAUAGGAUCCAGCUCGAUGGUAAUUGAAAUAGUGGAAGGAAUAUAGGUUCUGACGAGCUUGUAAAUGUUGAGACCGUUACCAGAUUGAAGCCAGAUUCUUUUCGUAAUAGAAUCGUGCAACCGUGUUUUAAUGUAUGCGUCGUAGUUCGAGUCCAUGUUGCAAAACAAAUGUUGACAUAUGUAUCAGCAAAAUGAAUAAUAGAGCUCGAAUGUGGUUUAAUUUAGGGAAAGAUUUCCAGCCACUGGUUAUUUUGUAUGAGGGGUAAUUUAAUUUUCUCCAGAAUGUUGUUCUGCGCACCACACGUGUAAACACAGUUCAGACUUCUGUAAUCAAUUAUGUAGUUUACAAUUCACGAAAAAAAUGUAUGUGGGGUUUGUUUUAGAUAAUACAUAACGGUCUUCUCCAAAUAGGACACGUCAAAGAAGAUUUAACAACAACGUUGAUUACAAUAAUGGGUAUUGUCAUAUUUUGUGUGCACAUUAUCAGUUAUUCAGGUGAAAGUCGCACUCUAUCAAUGUUUAUUUGUCGUCUAAAUCACAUUUAUCUUACUAAAUAUA